AGAUAAUGGUGCAGAUGUGAGGACCAGAGAGGCAGCCCCAAAUUCUCCUCCUAGAUGGCCAUAUUUCUAACCAGGAUGUGCACUCCUCAUAAACUGGGACCAUGAAGAAGGACCCUGCCCUGAAGCUGCUCAAAACCAUCUGCAGUUCCAGAAGGGUGGAGCCCAACACAGGCUUUGAACUCACAAGCCUGAGAUAAAGAGUCAAGAACUAACCCACUUGGCCACACAAGCAUCAUGGGGUCAUUGUAAUCUUGAUCCUGAGUCUCAUCGAUGGCACGUCUUACUUUUUUACCUGCCCAAGGCUGAGAGCAGGAAUCAGACUGGGCUGGAGUUGUGAGGGAAGGGGGAAAUUUGAAGCAGGCAGCCUCAGUGGUACCCAUGAAGCUUUAGCAAUUUGAGGGCCAGAUAGAUGCUCACAGGAGUAAAGAAGUUCAGGUGGCAGAAACCUCAAGCCCAGUAUUUACUUCCCCUGCUGCUCAGGCACUCUGUGGGGAAAAGAUCAACUAGGGCCUGCUGGGGUAUAGGGAUCUAAGGGAGGUAACAGAAUGCAGCCCCUGUCAUGUCCCCUGCAGACCCUGAACUGUAAUGAGAUGAGGCUUUAGCCCUGCUGCUCUGACUGCAACUGCAAGAAGAUCAGCUGGUAAUCCAACAGCUGCCAUUCACCCUAGAGAUACUGCACUCAAGUCUCCUCCCAGUCUCUGCUCCUGCACAAGAAACAUUCUGCAGAUCGAUCCGGCCUUUGAUCAAGUUUCUAUCAGGCUGUCCCAGUCCUCAAAGAUCAAUCAACCUCUCUUUUAUUUAAGUCACAUAAGUAGUGUAUUUAUUCAUUCAGUUAGUAUGGAAUUUGUGGGAUGAGAUCUCUAGUUGCCAGGAAUAUGCAGUGAAAGUGAGAUUGCUGGGUAGUGAAACUCAGAAUUGGAAUCCAUCAGAGUGACUGAGAACUGAGCCAAGGGAACAGCAUGCAGCCCCCAGAUCUCCAGGGAAAGCCCGCUGCUGCUGCUCCAGGGGGGCUGAUGGUCUACCUAUGAAGGAGAUGGAGUAGGGACAGUGUGAAGCACAACAGACCAGCAGUACUGUUGGGGGAAGAGUGAGAAGCAGAAGCCUAAAUGACAGUCUUCAGACACCGCAUGGUCCCUGUCUGUUUCCAAAUGGCUCUUGUAGCAACAAAAAUUAAAGAUGAACCUUGAUUUCU
Canis lupus familiaris (dog) is the source of this 1192-nucleotide long non-coding RNA. RefSeq lists it as uncharacterized. NCBI's taxonomy places the organism in Eukaryota, Metazoa, Chordata, Mammalia, Carnivora, Canidae. The transcript is spliced from 3 exons. The record is from RefSeq and is a predicted model, not a curated record.